Long non-coding RNA from Dendroctonus ponderosae (mountain pine beetle), 614 nucleotides. RefSeq lists it as uncharacterized. The record is from RefSeq and is a predicted model, not a curated record. Lineage: Eukaryota; Metazoa; Arthropoda; Insecta; Coleoptera; Curculionidae. The transcript is spliced from 4 exons.
AAAAACUAACAGUUUUAGCUCAAAACCUAUAGGUCGAUUAAACCACUUACAACGGAACAUUAAGCUUUCUACACGAAACUUGAGGAAAAAUGAGCGUUAAAAUGUGACUUUGAUUUUAAGCUUUAAACCCAUAUUCGACGAAAAACAGGAAGUUUCCACUCUUAUCUCGAAAUUUCAAAUUCCACUUUAAAUACUCAGAUUUGAACAAAACGCUUCGCACAAAAUGUAUCCUUCAAAUUUAUAAAAUUUUUGGAAUCGUUAACUAUACAUACAAAUUCUCAGUUCAAUAGUUUUAGUUGUACAGAUGAAACCUCCGAUAUUCUUGUUUCGACACCCACAGAUGGACGACAUGGCACAUAAUAGUCGACUUUUGCUUUAAGGAAACGCAGUAGAAACGUCUCACGGACUCCGAGAUUUCAGGAUGUCGUUAUCGUUUUACCAACAAUUUUCCUAUUCAUGAACUCUUCUUGGGUAUAGAAAAUGUUUUAUUACAGGUUAGAAUAUCGUCUCUUAGGAUGACUAACAACAUCUUAUAUCGUUGCUUAUUUUGGAGUUUUUCCAUGCGUAAUUUCCCACUUUCUACAAUGAAAAGUUUACACCACCGGCGUAGAACU